CAAGUUAAAGUUCAUUUAGGGAACUUCUCAUUUACACUGAGAUAGAGUUUGUGCAAUUCAAAUUAAUUUGA
Molecule: transfer RNA, 71 nt
Filed under: Coeliccia cyanomelas
Lineage: Eukaryota; Metazoa; Arthropoda; Insecta; Odonata; Platycnemididae
Description: tRNA-Val
Source: RNAcentral